This is a long non-coding RNA of Cydia pomonella (codling moth), 7082 nucleotides long. RefSeq lists it as uncharacterized. Lineage: Eukaryota; Metazoa; Arthropoda; Insecta; Lepidoptera; Tortricidae. The record is from RefSeq and is a predicted model, not a curated record. The transcript is spliced from 2 exons.
UGAGAAAGGACAAUGGGCACUUUUGUAUGGGGAGUGUCCCAUGGAUGUAUACUGUUGAGACAUAUGUCGUUUUAAAGCUCUUAAUCGUAGUAUUAUUUUAUUGUAUGGCACCAACCUUGGACCACUUGCAGGGACCGAGCUAUAUAAAAAAAGAAGUUGCGCAUAUAAGCAGUUAUAUUUCCUUAUACGCGGGAUAUAAAAAGUUUUAGCGUAUUUUAUUCGAAAGAAUAUAAAAAAUGCUUUAUGUUUUUUGUAUCAACACCAAUGAUAAAGUAUUUAAAGGGACACAAUGUACAGUUUUAAAAAAUCGUUUUUCUAAAAAUUACUUGAUACACAGCGAAAUAAGAGUGUAUACAAAUGCCAUGUAUAUCAUGUGAAAAGUAUUUUUAUAAGCUAUUUUUCGUAUAAUAUAACUGGGGUCAAAUCGUUGCAGGGACCAAAAUAAAACCAUUUAAUGAGUUAAUUAAUUGUAGUUAAUUACGCCUUAACUUUUCUACUCAACGCCAGAUGUCGCUCUAAAGCAAAAUUCUACUUGACGUAAAACAUUUAUACAUAGCGGUAAUCUCGUCAGUCUUACUCCAUCAUUUUAAAAAGUAUAGACUAGUUUAUGGAUUUCUAAAGUUAUGUCAAGAUGACUCUGAAUGUAAUAUUGUCAACAAUAAUUGUCAAAACACGCAAUUUAAAAUAUUCAACAUUGUAAUUACAAAAUAGUAUAUUUCUAAUACGCUAUAAUUUUCUCCAAUCGAAAGGCACUCCAUUCCAUUGAUCUCAGAGAGUAUGCUCCUUGAUGAUCUUCACUAUUCAUGGGGUAGGUAAGAUAAAAGUAUUAUUUUUUCUCGUAUAGCUGCUAUAUAGCGUUCGACUCCAUGGAAAAUAAAGGCUCCAAAUUAUAUAAAAAAUAUAGCAUAUAUACAAAGUGCAAUUUAGAUAGUAUUCCAGAAAAAAAUGCGCCAAUGUAAAUGCUGAAAAGUUUCCUAUCGUAUUGUCGAACAAAUUCAUAUCUACUUCUGAUCUACGCGACCUUAGAAGUUUGGAUUGUCCUACCUAAUCAUUUUACAUUUUAUUGUUUUCAGAACAAGAAUUAUUUUACUUCCCACUGUCUAUGUAAUGGGACUUAGAGCGGAUUCAUACUUUACUAUACGUGUCGUGUCGAAUGAUAGUCCCUAUGUCAGUUUCUCCAAUUCUAUUUUGCGUAGGAUAAGUUAAAAAAAUAAUUAAAAAUAUGUGUUACCGUAUUUUUAUUCGUGAAAUGUUACCUAUAUUUCUAAGUUAAUGAUUGUACUAUACUUCCAAAAAUAUGUCUGACAAACAUUUUACAUGAAAGCCAUUUUUCCAUGUAAAAAUGAACUGUUAUAGGGACCAUCUUCUGAAUUUAUGAUAAUUUAUUCAUAUUUUAAUGUACUCGGGUAAUAUUGCAGACAUUAUAUCAGCACCAAAUAAAUGCUGUGAACCAGAUAUAAUAAUAUAUUAAGUGGCGAAUAACGUUUCCAAAUCGCAUUUUCUUUUGACAUAUUUUUCUUUUUUUUUGCUCUUUUUUUCACGACCGGUUUGGCCUAGUAAGUCGAUGAUCCUGGGUUUGAAUCCCGGUAAGAGCAUUUAUUUGUGUGAUGAGCACAGAUAUUUGUUCCUGAGUCAUGGAUGUUUUCUAUGUAUUUAAGUAUUUGUAUAUUAUAUAUUAUUAUGUCGUUGUAUGAGUACCCACAAAACAAGCCUUCUCGGCUUGCCGUGGGACUCAGUCAAUUUGUGUAAGAAUGUCCCUAUAAUAUUUAUUUAUUGUUAUUAUUAUUGUAUGUCCGGUAACAGAACUCCCCAGGAGCACUCGGGUGUGUAAGGUCGCUACUCCCCAACUUAUUAUAAUUGUUAUUACUUUCAACAUUUUUAAGUUGUUCAUCGGACACUGAGGCCAUUGAAGUUUCAAGCUGGCGGCAUCAAAAUGGAGUACCUAGGUACUGUUUCAAAUAAAUGGGUGGUAAGUAAGUACAUUUGGUGAAGUGGAACUGCUGAUGUUGAUCAGAAACGGAACUCUUCCACGCGCGUGAUUUGUCUUCUUUGUUAAGUUUGUAGCGAGUAAGUUUCAAGUACCAAGGUUUUUAGGAACCUUUGUGUCAAGGUAAAGGUCUGACGAUGGGUUCCAUGAGGAAGCGAGGGAACACCUCAAGUCUUAUAGGCAUAUAGUCAUUUUGGAUUUUCAUCAAUACCUUAAGCUUUUUCAUUCCCACUAGUGGCAUUUAAUGAAGUGGAACUACUGAUGUUGACCAAAACGGAACUAUUGAACGCGCGAGAUUUUUCUUCUUUGUUUUUUUUUUAUGAUAUAAGAGGCAAACGAGCAGACGUCACACCUGAUGGUAAGCGAUUACCGCCGCCCAUGGACACCUGCUAAACCAUAGGGGUUGUAAGUUCGGUGCUGGCCUUUAAGAUUGGAAUACGCUGUUUUCUUAAAGUUUUAAAUGUCGUAUUGGUCCGGAAAUACCGCAGGCGACAGAUCAUUUCAUAGUUUGUUGAGUUCUGUAUGAGGCAGGAAGUUUCUAGAGAAAUGCACAGUUGAGGACUGCCAACCAUCUAAGUGGUGAAAAUAAAAAUGUUGUAGCGUAGCGCGAUGACGAAAAGAGGCGGCAAGGAUUAAUCCGAGCAAUGCGAUGGAACACUCGCCGUAAUAGAUUUGUCCUGAUAAGUUUGUAGAAAGUAAGGUUGUUAAGAAACAUCUGUGUCUAGAUCCAGGUCUGAUAGAUACCUCAAACCUUAUAGAAAUACAUAUAGUUUUUUUUGGAUUUACAUCAAUAACUUUGGGCGUUUUAUUAAAAAAAAGCUACAUUUAAUCAAGUGGAACUGCUGAUGUGUUCCAGAACGGAACUUUUCAACGCACACGUUUUGUAUUCUUUAUUAAGCUUGUAGUGAGUAAGGUUCUUAAGGUGUACUUAAUACAUCAAUGUCCAGUUCUGAUGAUGGGUUUCAUGAAGAAUCGAGGGAAUUCCUAAAAUCUUUUAGGCAUACAUGUAAUAAUUUCUGGGAUUUUAUUCACAUAUCAAGCAUUAUUAUUAAAAAAGUGUCAUUUGACUAAAAGUAACAGCUGAUGUUGACCAGAAUGGAACUCGCCAACUCGCGCGUGAUUUGUUUUAUUAGUUAAGUUUAUAGCAAGUAAGUUUUAAGUAUUAAGGUUUUUAGGAACAUUUGUGUCAAGGUAAAGGUCUGAUGAUGGGUCCCAUGAAGAAUCGAGGGAAUUUCUUAAAUGCUAUAGGCAUAUAUGUAGUACUUAUUGGAUUUUCAUCAACAUAUUAUCAACUUUUAUUCACAAAAGUGACAUUUGAUGAUGUGGAACUACUGAUGUUGACCAGAACGGAACUCCAACGCGUGCAAUUUUUCUUCGUUAAGUUUGUACCAAGUAAGGUUCUUAAGAAACAUUUUUGUCAAAGUACAGUUCUGAUGAUGGGUUUCAUGAAGAAUCGAGGGAAUUCCUAAAAUCUUAUAGGCAUACAUGUAAUAAUUUCUGGGAUUUUGUUUACAUAUCAAGCAUUUUUAUUAAAAAAAUUGUCAUUUGACUAAGUGUAACAGCUGAUGUUGACCAGAAUGGAACUCGCCAACUCGCGCGCGAUUUGUUUUAUUAGUUAAGAUUGUAGCAAGUAAGUUUUAAGUACUAAGGUUUUUAGGAACAUUCGUGUCAAGGUAAAGGUCUGAUGAUGGGUCCCAUGAAGAAUCGAGGGAAUUUCUUAAAUUUUAUAGGUAUAUAUAUAGUACUUAUUGGAUUUUCAUCAACAUAUUAUCAAGUUUUAUUCACAAAAGUCACAUUUGAUGAUGUGGAACUACUGAUGUUGACCAAAACGGAACUCCAACGCGCGCAAUUUUUCUUCGUUGUUAAGUUUGUAGCGAGUAAGGUUCUCAAGAAACAUUUUUGUCGAAGUACAGUUCUGAUGAUGUGUUUCAUGAGAAAGCGACGGAACUCCUCAUUCUCCUCAAUUUUUAUAGGUAUAUAGUAAUUUUGGAUUUUCAUCAAUAUCUUUAGCUUUUUUUAUUCACAUUAGUGGCAUUUGAUGAAGUGGAACUAGUGAUGUUGACUAAAACGGAACUCUUCAACGCAUGAGAUUUUAUUCUUUUUUUGUUUGUUGUGAUAUAAGAGGCAAACUAGCAGACGAAUCAACUGAUGGUAAGCAAUUACCGCUGGCCAUGGACAUCUGUUACACCAUAGGGAUUGUAAGUGCGGUGCCGGCAUUUAAGAUAGGAAUACGCUCUUUCCUUAAAGUUUUAAAGAUCGUAUUGGGCCGAAAAUACCGCAUGCGACAGAUCAUUUCAUAGUUUAGCUGUAUGAGACAGGAAGUUUCUAGAGAAAUGCACAGUUGAGGAUUGCCAACCAUCUAAGUGGUGAAGAUAUAAAUGAUGUGGCGUAAAGCGGUGACGGAAAGAGGCGGCAGAGAUUAAUCCGAACAAUUCCUCGGAACUUUUAAGUUUGUAGAAAGUAAGGUUCUUAAGAAAUGUCUGUACUAGACACCAGUGUCUAGGUCUGAUGAUGGACACCUCAAACCUUAUAGAAAUACAUAUAGUUUUUUUUUUCAUCAAUAUCUCUAGGUGUUUUAUUUUAAAAAAGUUAUAUUUGAUCAAGUGGAACUGCUGAUGUUGUCCAGAACGGAACUUUUCAACGCACGCGUUUUGUAUUCUUUAUUAAGCUUGUAGCGAGUAACGUUCUUAAGGUGUAUUUAUAUCAAUGUUCAGUUCUGAUGAUGGGUUUCAUAAAUAAUCGAGGGAAUUCCUGACAUCUUAUAAUUUCUGGAUUUUUAUUUACAUAUCAAGCAUUUUUAUUAAAAUGUGACAUUUGACGAAAUGCAACAGCUGAUGCUGGCCAAAAUGGAACUCGCCAAUUCGCGCGCGAUAUGUUUUAUUUGUUUAUUUUGUAGCAAGUAAAGUUCUUGAAGACAUUUGUGUCAUAAGGUCUAGUUCUGAGGAUGGGUUCCAUGAGAAAUCGAAGAAAUUCCUCAAAUCUUAUAGGCAUACAAUAAUAUAUAGUAAUGUUUGGAUUCUCGUCAACAUAUCAAGCAUUUUUAUUUAAACAAGUUAGUGAUAUUGACCAGAACGGAACUCUUCAACGCGCGCUAGGUUCAGCUAGGUUCUUAGGAAACAUUUGUGUCAAGGUCCAGUUCUGAUGAUGGAUUCAAUGAGGAAUUGAGGAUUUUAAAUCGAUUUGAAUUCACAAUUAGGAGGAAUUGAGGAUUUUCGUCAACAUAUCAAGUUUUUUUUAUUUGAACAAGUGACAUUUGAUGAAGUGAAACUGCUGAUAUUACUGAAACUAUGCUGAUACUGCUGAAAUGGAACUCUUCAACGACAAGUAUUUUACCUUAGGCGUUUUUUUUUUUUAUUUCGUUUAUAGCAUGUAAGGCUUUUAAGGAACAUUUGUGUCAAGGUCCAGUUCUGAUGAUAGGUUCUACGAGAAACUGAAGGAGCUUCUCAUAUUGUAUAGGAUAGGCAUACAUAUAGUCAUUUUAGGAUUUUCAUCAAUAUUACAAGCAUUUUUACUCAAUAAAGUGACAUUUGUUGAAGUAGAAUUGCUGAUGAAGAACGGAACACCUCAACGACUUCCAGAUUCUUUAUUUUUAUUACUCUUCUUCCUUUUUCAUUAUUCUUAGAACAGGUAUUUCUACGAAGUGAACCGAACUGCUACUAUUAAAAGUAGCUAGGUAGGUAGGUUAAAUAGGUUAAAACUGUAAGGAUUAUUAUGUAUAAGUAGUUUCUUUUAAUUAAACAUAGGUAAGUAAUUCUAUUUAAGUAUAAGUAUCUUUAAAAAAACAUCAAUCGACUCUUAUCUGUCACUAGUUCCAGUUUCAGAGUAUAAAAUCCGGGUACACAGCCACGGCUAGCCGGGUAGCCAGACAGUUCGAAUACGGACAAGUUAUUGUGAAUAAAAAAUCUUAUCGUCUUGCAAAAGUUAAUGUCAUAAAUGUAUAGGUUUCGAAUACAUGAAUAUAAAGUGAAAAUGCUGGUAAAAGUAUUAGUUUUUAUCAUUAACCAUUUUAUAUCCCAACAAAACUGUUACCCUUACAAAAAUAAAAUGCUUUCAUUACCUAAUGUAGGUUACGUUAGGUAAUAAAUAAAUAAAUAUGUAGGGACAAUCUUACACAGAUUGGCCCCAAAAUAAUCAAAGCUUGUACUAUGGGUACUAGGCGACGUUAAACAUACUUAUUUAGAUAAAUAUAUAUUUACGUAUAUACAUAGAAAACACGCAAGCCUUAGGAACAAAUAUCUGUAUUCAUCACACAAAGAAAUGUCCUUACGCGAUUCAAACUCGGGACCAUCGGCUUCAUAGGCAGGGUCACUACCCACUAGGCCAAACCGGUCGGCAAAAGGUAAAGAUAAUUAGGUAAAGACAAUGAAUAAUUAAACGUAUUAUAAAUUGACACCAAUAUCCAUCAAAUAGUAUAACUAGGUAUGCUAAGAGCGGGCUUCAGGCCAUUACGUCGCACCUUUAGAAUUAAAUUAAUUUGACUCAAAAAGUACGACUACUUUAUAUAAUGUAGUUUGGUAGAACAGUAAGAACUCACUAUAUGUGUCUCUUUUUCAUGCGGUGAAAUCCCCCCCACCCGGAAAGGAUAGCGACGCCCAUUUUAUCGACUCUCGAGUCGACUCCAAUCUGAUACUAAUAAAACCAUACGGAAAUAAUGAGGAUGCAUCGACAUAAGAAGAAUCGAACAUGGGCAAGAUAAAGUUCAAGAAAAAAGCAAAUAUAAUGUGUACUUGUGUGUAGUCAAAGAAAGUUGAAAAAUAAAGCAUAAUUAAUGGCCAUAGAAUACAGAACCGAUACACGAACAUUAAGACUAUUAAAAAUAGACAUAUAGGUUGAUCGUACUACUCGUACUAAUGUAUAUCUUUUGUUCAAUUAUAUUAUUGCAUUAAAGUUAGAUUCUCUAGAUAUAUAUUAUUCAUAGGUUCUGUAUUCUAUACGAAUUGUUUCAGUGUAAUUAUUGUACUAAAUACCGUUGACCGCCUGUCAACAGUAUUUAUUUCUACAUUACUAUCACAGAAGAUUUUAGGCCCUACCGUACAGUUUUUGAAUUAGUAUUUACUAUGGACAAAUAUAGCGAAAUGUGAGUUUUUACCUAAAA